RNAcentral lists this ribosomal RNA (639 nucleotides) under Triticum aestivum (bread wheat). Its description in RNAcentral is "partial small subunit ribosomal RNA". The record is from RNAcentral. Lineage: Eukaryota; Viridiplantae; Streptophyta; Magnoliopsida; Poales; Poaceae.
AUGCGGGAAGGGCCGGACGCGCCGGGCUCAAAUACAGCAGACUCCGGCGCCACCGCGCACGCACGCACGCACGCGGAGCGGGGGCCCUGUCCAAAGCGCGUGAUCCAUUUCCUCCUCGCUUCCUUCUCUCUCGGUCUCGGUGCGUGCGUCACUCCGUCGGCCCGUCCCCCUCACCGGCGACUUGUCGCCUCGCGGCCACUCCCAGCCCCAGCGUGGGCGCGUGUGUUGCGAGCCAUGGCCGGCGAGAAGAGGAUGUUCGGCUUCGAGGAGGUCGCCAAGCACAACGUCGCCAAGGACUGCUGGCUCGUCAUCGCCGGCAAGGUGUAUGAUGUCACCCCUUUCAUGGAUGAGCAUCCUGGUGGAGAUGAGGUACUGCUGGCAGUAACCGGGAAAGAUGCAACCAGCGAUUUCGAAGAUAUCGGACACAGUGAUUCCGCAAGGGAGAUGAUGGAGAAGUACCACAUCGGGGAGAUUGAUGCUUCAACCAUCCCAGCAAAGCGUACAUUUGUACCUCCUCAGCAAGGGUCCCAUGUCCAGGCCAAGGAUAGCGACCUCCUCAUCAAGAUCCUGCAGUUUCUUGUUCCCAUUUUAAUCUUGGGGCUUGCAUUUGGUGUCCGGCACUACAGCAAAUCUGAGUAG